RNAcentral lists this ribosomal RNA (492 nucleotides) under uncultured bacterium. Its description in RNAcentral is "partial 16S ribosomal RNA". It matches the Rfam family "Bacterial small subunit ribosomal RNA", at positions 29 to 507 of the family's 1533-position model. The record is from RNAcentral.
AGUGAACGCUGGCGGUAGGCCUAACACAUACAAGUCGAACGGCAACACAGUAAGAGCUUGCUCUUACGGGUGGCGAGUGGCGGAUGGGUGAGGAAUACAUCGGAAUCUACUUUUUCGUGGGGGAUAACGUAGGGAAACUUACGCUAAUACCGCAUACGACCUACGGGUGAAAGCAGGGGAUCUUCGGACCUUGCGCGAUUGAAUGAGCCGAUGUCGGAUUAGCUAGUUGGCGGGGUAAAGGCCCACCAAGGCGACGAUCCGUAGCUGGUCUGAGAGGAUGAUCAGCCACACUGGAACUGAGACACGGUCCAGACUCCUACGGGAGGCAGCAGUGGGGAAUAUUGGACAAUGGGCGCAAGCCUGAUCCAGCCAUACCGCGUGGGUGAAGAAGGCCUUCGGGUUGUAAAGCCCUUUUGUUGGGAAAGAAAAGCAGCAGGUUAAUACCCCGCUGUUCUGACGGUACCCAAAGAAUAAGCACCGGCUAACUUCGUG